Molecule: long non-coding RNA, 14955 nt
Filed under: Solanum tuberosum (potato)
Lineage: Eukaryota; Viridiplantae; Streptophyta; Magnoliopsida; Solanales; Solanaceae
Description: long non-coding RNA (STUB_LNC007873)
Source: RNAcentral
CUGUUAAUUCUUUCAAAACCUUUGGAUGUUCAUGAAGAAAUUUAAUAGCCAAAGUUAUAGCCAAAGAGGUUGUCUCAAAGCUAGCAAAGAGCAACACAAACAUCAAAUCCAAAGCUAUUGUCUCAGUGAGAAUUGUGUCUUUACUUUGAAGUUCUUCUAAUACAUAAUCAAAGAAGUCACUUUGCUCUUUUCUUGGUUGUGAUUUCCUUUCCUCUAGCAUUCUCUUGAGCAUCUUCAAUAUCUUCUUUCUUCCCUGAUGAACACCUUCUAGAGAUAGUUCAAUCAUGACUUUGUAUAAAUUUAGUCAAACGUUGUUAUAACGAUAUUUCCGAUCUAUAUUUUUUAAUGUUAUAACAAAAUACUGUUACAGAGAACAUAUAAUAUAACAUAUUUUUAAAAAAAAAAAACUGUUUCUAAGGAAAUUGAUCAUUAUAGUGAAAUGAUCUUCUAGGGACUAGGGGAUGGUCAAAAUAUAUGCAAUUACGUACAUUUGUGAGAAUAUAAAAGUUUCUCAUUAACAAUAAAAUAGGAAGUAUUGUUAUAAGGUGAUAAACAUAUAGUUUUUUUGAAGCGUAUACUAAAGAUCUAGUAAGAAAAUAGUGUCAUAUAAACUGAAAUAGAUGGAUCAAUAUUGCUUGUUAUAAAGUUUGCUUUACUUUUUAUUACUAAAAAGUAACCUGAUUGACAAGAGGGAGUUGCUCGGGUGGUAAAUAUCCUCCAUUUUCAAUCCUAAGAUUUUGAGUUCGAGUUACCAACAGAGCAAAAAGAUAGGAGCUUUCAGGGGAGGGGUAAAAAAAUGAAGAAAAAAAAGUAACCUCAAGAUAUAAACAUUUUGACAUCAUUAGUGCAUAAAACGUAAACUUCAAUAAAUAUAGAAUUUAACUUAUAAAUACUGAUAAUGUAAUAAACUUUUACACGAUCAUUUUACUUUUAAUUUGUUAUAGUAAGUAAUCCAUUUUAUUUUCCAGGUUACUGAUCCACUUUUUAUCAUAGACUUAUUAUGAUAUUGUUAGUGCAUAGAAAUUAAACUUAAAAUACCUGCAAGCACUUGUAAUAGGCAGUUCCAGGAAAAUAUAGAGGGAAAGAUAUUAAUCCCUUUAUAAAAGCUACAAAAUUCUCAGACACGUUUCCUGUUGAGUUCUCAGAAUCAAAACUGAUAAGUUUCUUUCCAGUUAUAUCAAAUAUCAUCUGCAAAAAAAAAUAAAAAAAAGAUUAUAUUUAUUUAAAUUCAAAUAUAAUAUGAAAAAAACAUACAACCUCUUUGAGAUAUACAUUACGAAGCUAGAUAAAAAAAAAAUCAGUAUUAUUAUUAUUAUUAGUAUCUUACUAUCAUAGUGAAUUUCCAUGUAACAAAAUACAUAAAAGUCGAGUGACCAUCUGUAUAAUUACCUUCGCUGAUGCCUCCUUCAUCUCAAUGCUUGUUUGUCCUAACCAUCUCUUCAAAUUAUUAUUUGCAAUUUUUUCAACCUCAGGCAGCAUAUUUUUCAAACUUUCAGGGCCAAAAAGAUUUAGCACCAUGUUUUUCAAGUACUUGUACAUAAAACCAUGUAAUGAUCCAACAUUUUGCCUUCCAAAAAUCUCUGUGAAAGUAUAUGGAUACCAACUUUGAAACAAUUUUCCCUCUUGUUGGAAGAUAAAGUAAUUAAAAUUAGGAUCUGUGGAUACUAUGACUGGACGUCCCACCAAACUAGUUCGAAAUAUCGGUCCAUACCUGAUUCAAAAUUUAGAUAUUUUGAAUUUCGUGUUGAGAGAUCAAUAAAAACAUAUAUAUGGAUCUUUUUUUUUCUAUUUUUCUUUUGUUCUUUUGGUUACAUGAAUAAUUUGACCCCCACUAUGCACAAAAUAAAUUUUAUAGCUAAGUACGAACGUUUUUUUUCCACCCCACAUGGCUAGAAUUAAAGAAGACAAAUGUGUCCACCCUAUAAAUUUGAUACCAUCUCCUACAAUGAAAUUAAUAACCCAACCCUGUUUGAGAUAUUUUUUAAUAAUAUCUAGUCUUAUUCUUAUUUUUUUAAUGCUUGAGUGGUUUGAUUUUCCCAUCAAAGUUGAAAAAUAGAUACAUGACAUGUGUUUAUAUAUAGACCUCAAUUACUUAAUCAUUAUAAGUUGAACUAAUUUGAUAUAAACAUUCGAUACAGAUCAGCUUAAAUAAAAUCAUAAGUGACAUACACUAAUAUUAAAUUUGUUAAUUACCUUUGCAUCCUCUCCUUCACAAAAGGAGAAAUAUCAAAUGAUGUAUUUGGUGCAAAGAAUUGAAUAGUCUCACCAAGUAAUGGCCAACCCAUUGAACCUGGUGGGAGUUUUCCAUUGUUUUUAGGGUAUCUCAAGUUAUGUAUAAUGACAAUAACAAGUAAGGAUCCAAUAAUAUAAAUACCAAGUGACAACAUUUUCUUGAUAAUAUAUUGUGUGUAAAUUAAAGAGAUGGAAAUGUGGUGGUUCAUAAUUAGAGGAAAUGGGAGACUAUAAAUAGGCAGUGGAAUGAUGUACUAUUAUAUCUUUAGUUUUUUAAAAAAAAUUAGACACAUGCCUUUUAACUUGGUUUCAGAUGACAUUUAUGUCCUCCAACAUUGAAUAAGUACAAGUAGACCCUUAAACUUGUAUAAAGUUUAAUAAAUAGACACAUGCAUCAUAUGUGGCGUCCUACAUGACAUGCUACGUGUAUUAUGUGACGUAGGACAUGUGUGUCUACUUGUUAAGUUUUAUACAAGUUUAAGGCCUACUUGUACACACCCAAAGUUGAAAGACAUAGAUGACAGUUGAAACCAAGUUAAAAGGCACAUUUAUAUACCCUUCGGGGUGGUUCCGUGAUUUGGACUUGAAACUUCCAUGUUGGAGGUCUCAAUGUCGAAAGUCGAAACCCCUUGCCAGUGAAAGCAAGGGGUUUGCCUUUUGGGUCGAGCUCGUCAUACCGGGCUUGCUAGUGUGGUUAUCUCUCUAGUGUUUUUGCGAGUUAUUGUAUAAAAGCGAGGGUUUUACUUUGUUCGCACCCAAAGAAUAGCAAUUGCAAAUUUUUCUUGUCAUUAAAAAAACACAUUUAUAUAUGUGAUAAGAAAAAAAAAGUUAGAGAUGUUUAAAAUUUGUUAGCUAAUUGUCUUGUAUUUGACUUUUUUUAUUACGAGAAAUUUAAGGUGUAAUUGAUGGACUCCACGUGUCCUAAUUGUUCUUUUAAAAAAAAUCCACAAUUACCCCCAUCCACCCAACCCACCCCACAGCUUUUGAAUAUACUUUAAAAUUACUAUAGGGUUGGAGCACCGUGAGGAGUUUAAAGGGCAAAAAUGGAACUUUUCAAAAAUCACCAGGGUAACUCAAUUUAAAAUAUUGUUAUAAGCUAGCUUACGUACACUUCGAUUAUUUUAUCGGAUGCUUAUUAUCUCUUAUCCUUAUAUUAAAUUUAUAGAAGCCUACCCCUCUAAAGAUUAGAUGUGAGGAAAAAGGUUAUAAAUCUAUAGAUGGCAGGGGUAUCCAUGAUUUUUUAAAAAUAUAUCAAAUGAAUCGAUAAAAUUCAAAAAAAAAAUUUCUUUUGUAUUUGUGAUAUUUAAGUCAAAUAUAUACAUAAAAAAUUAGCAUUUUUUUAGUAAAAUGGUGCUCAACAAACAUAUAGUACUACUAUUUGUCAUACUUUAUUUGUUAUUAAAGCUUGAUAUUGUUUAAAUAAGAAACGAGACAUUCUAAUAAUAAUGUUACUCUUAUAAGGUAUUUUGAAAAUAAUUGAAUUGUACAAAUAUGGACUAAACUAAAUAUAAUGUUUGGAAAAUAUUUUAUAUUAUGCUACACGAAAUAUAUAUUUUCUCUCAAUAGACAAAAAACAUUAUUUUUCCUUUAAAGUUAGGUUUCUACACCACUCAAAUUGAGUAGUGGGCAGAAAUGAUUGAACAAUUAAGUAGGAUUAAUUGCUAUUAGCAGACCACACACUAUCAAAUAGGGCACGUUUAAUCACUUCAGAAUAACUUUAUAUUAAAUGUCUCUGUUUUAUAUAUCUGAAGUUUAUAUACAUCUAAUCAAAGUUUAAUUAAUUUUCCCGAAAUUUAGGCAUAUAUAAUUAAAGUCCAAUCCUUUUGUCCGAAUUUCAGCUACAUGUGGUUGAUAUCGGUCAUUUUUACCUUAAAUUUGUACACACACACAUAGAUAUAUAAAGUUCUAUUAUUUUUAUUUGAACUUAAGGUAAAAAUAUGUUAACUUCAGGUAAAUAUAAUCAAUGGAUAAAAUUAGCUAAUGUAGAAUACUACUCUUAUUAAUUACUCUUAAUAAUAGUACACCAACAACAAUAUACCUAUUGUAAUUUUACAAGAUAGAAUCUGAAGUGAGUAUACACAUAUCUUACUCUUGUGUUAUGGAGGUAGAUAGGUUAAUUUAAAAAAACUACAGACUUAAAUAACGCAAAUUAAAGAACGUACAUGAAGAAAUAAUAUAAUUACUCUUUAAAAUGGUAAUUUUAAAUAAUUACAAAACAUAACGAGAUUAUGAAAUUUUAUAGCCUUUACAUACAAGUGGUCUCCCUUACAGUUGCACCAAUGUUAUACAUACACAGUUUAAAAACACAUACAUUAAAUCUAGUUGACCAUAGAUACAAUUGAUGUCUUCACAUAUAUCCCACUUUCCGCUUUGAAAGCAAAUAAAUACAUAUAUAAUUGAUCACACAUACAUACAAUAUACAUUUACAUUCUAAUACUGUACCUACUUUUACCAAGUUUUGUUUUUAAUCGUUCUAUAAUUUGCUUGAUUAUUAAAAAGAUAAUAAUAUUAAUAAAGUUUUUAAAUUUAUUAUGAGUUAUGAUUAUAUAUAACAUAUUGAAAAAUUAAUUUUUAUAAUAAGAUUAUCUAAUUUGAACUAUAUAUUUAGCCCAAAACUAAUCUAACUUUAAAAUAUGCUAAAUUAAAUAAAUGAAAAUAGACUGAAUUAAUAAAUAAACUUAUCAAUUUUGACAGAUUAGGUUGAUCAUAUGUAAUAUUAGUAGUGUAGAUUGUAGAUUUCUAGUUUUGGUUAAUUAUUUCUGCCUAAUUAUUCUACCUCGAAUUAAUAUUGUUGUUGUUGCCAUUUUUGUCAAUUUAUGCCAAAUCAGCCUAAUUAUUAAUGAGCGGAAAUAAAUUGGGUUAAAAUAGAUUCAGCCCCAGCGCAGACUAAAAGUGCUCUCCGAACCGUGCUGGAUAGUCACCCAUCACACGGCUCUCAAACCCAACCUGUGGUGCACAGUAUAUAAGACUCGUGAUUCAGGCAAUCCAAUCUUCCGUGUGUAAGGCGGAAGCCGUUCUGGACCCGAAAAUGCCCGUUCGCUUGUCAUUGGGGAUCCCAAUCUGACUUGCUCGUGGUUUAUUAAUGUCGGGGUUGUUUUUACUUACCUUUCUGUCUAUGAAAGAAAUGAGGCCUUGGAGCUGAUCUGUCAGUCCACCGUUACCACAAACGCCAGGCAGGACUGGGAUCGCUGCCAACUGGGACUGCUCUUCAGUCUUCCUGAAUCACCGAGCGUGAGUCCUUCUGCUCGAGCGCAUUUUCUUGCCUUUAAGAGAGUAAAGGCUGUAUGCAUUACUGGAUUAAUUCGAAUUAAUAGUAAUAGAAACUAGGGUCCACGUAGACUAUUCAGAGGAGGUAUGCGAUAGGCUCCAAGCGCGAUUCUGAUUCUCAAUUUGGUUUUCUGUUCUGGAAUGAAUCUGUUCUAAAGAAAGACCUGCCUAUACUGAAGAGGGGCUGGUUCACGGUAAUGAAUGGUGGGAAGUUCCAGAACAGGUGGCUGGUAUACCACAAUAAUCAAACUUCCUUUUCUUUUUUUUAUUCGGAUCGGAUUUAUGUUCCAAUUUUGGUUAAUUAUUUCUGCCUAAUUAUUCUACCUCGAAUUAAUAUUGUUGGUAUUGCUAUUUUUGUCAAUUUAUGCUGGAUCAACCUAAUUUUUAAUGAACAGAAAUAAAUUUGGUUAAAAUAGAUUCAGCCAAUCUAUAUAAGUUACAUUAAUUAGCAUAAUCUAAAGUAGAAUUGAUUGGAGAAAUAGUAUUAACUUUGUAAUACAAUUGGCUAUAAAUUCAAUAUGGUAUAACUGAAUACCGUAUCAAAUCGAAGUUUAAAUUACCGUUUUCCGAAUUCCCAAACCGAAACUUAAAAAAUUUGAUAUUUGGUAUCUACUUUUAACUACCAAUUACUGAAUUACCAAACCCAAAAUUUGAGAAAUCCGAACCGAAUAUCAAAUGCCUACCCCUACUAAAUAGUCUCAAAAUUUCAAAUAUAAACUCCUCUCAAUGAUUCAAGUCUUUUUAUAUAUUACUCAUGUAAAACAAUAUACGUUUCUCAAUAAGUCAAAUUUUAAAAUCAAGCUUUAAAGAAGUUUAAAUUGCCGAACAUAGAAUCUAAGUUUCUUUUUCUUUCUCUAUUCCCAUUUUUCCCCCUCUUUUUCCAGAUCCAUUUAAGAAGGCCGAAUGGUCUUUUUUUUUUUGUAACAAAUAAUCGGUGAGUUAUUUUAGAUAAGGAAUUUUGACUCAAUGGAUAUUUUGUCUAAUUUUUCCAUCUAUUAUAAAUUGAUUUCAAUUUUUUUGUUUGUUAGUUAAAGGUAAAUUAAAUUUCUUUGCAUAAUAUUACUAUACAUUUUUUCACAUAUUUAUGUUGAUUGCAAAAAACGAAAAGAAAACUUAUCACUACAAGAAAAGUUUGAAUUACAUGGGGAUUUUUCUGGGGAUUAGUAUGAAAAUUUGCAGGAAAGUAAGUUUCCUACGGAUUAUCAUACUAAUCCCAGAAAAUCCUCAGGUAAUUCACACUUUUCUUGUAGUGUAUGAAACAAAAUAUAUAUGGUAACAAUCUUUGUAUUUUUUCAAGCAUUUUCUUUCUUUUGUAACGUAUGCUAGAAAUACUUGUGGAGCUGUUUCGUUUAGAUCAACUUUUUUGGUACGUCUAUGGACGAAUUUUAAUAUAUAAAUAAAAUCCUUCCGUUUUAAGAGAAAAAAACACCCAUAAAACCCUAUUCGAGUAGUGAACAAGGUGGAAUCAUAUUUUACACGACACUAAGCAAUUAUAUAAUUACCUUUAAAAUGCAUACCACUAAACUAUGAUCGAAUAAUAAGUGUUUUUAUAAAAAUUGAGUAUGACUACUUCUCUAAAUUUAUCCCUGCACCAUCUUCGUUUAAAUUUGUUUAUUUUACUGCUUUUUUUUUUACUAUUCUUUAAUUCUAUUUUGUCUAUGUUUAAUAUUACGAGAUUAAAAAAUAUUUUGAUACAAAAUAUUUGUUGAGUCAAAAUUUCUUGUUUUAAAUAAGACAAUUAUCAAUUCUUACGAAAAAAUAUGCUCAUAUAUUCAAUAUUUUUUUCAAUUGCAAGCAAAGUGCAAUUCACUCCUUUCCUUUUUCCCCUAAUAUCUUUCCUCUUCCGGUCGUUGAAGAAGCUGAACUAUUGUAAUGUGUAAAAUUAUAUAAUUAAUGUAAAUGAAUAUAUAUACACUAAUUAUAUAUUACAUAUACACAAUUUACAAUGUCGAUAUUUUACAUAUUGAUACAACUUUUUUUUGUCACAUAUACAGUUACAUAAACACCCCUUUAAUUUAUAUGACACUCAAGGAAGGUAAAAACUCAGUGUUUCCAAACUAUUUAAGUAAUAAGACAAAAGCAAAUGUAAGGUAAAUUCACAUGUCCAUGAUAUCAGUAGCGUAGCCAUAUACAGUGAAUGGGGUUACUUCUUUAAAAAAUAUAUAUAACACCUUUAAAAUAAGAAACUGGUGUGAUUGUUAUAUAGAUGAACUUUCAUAAUAUCGUAAAACACAAAAAAUUAAAAAAGAGAGAAGUAAAUAUAAAAUACAUUCAUAUUAGUAGAACAGCUCCCAUCUAACAUAGCAAUACUACAUAAGGUAAUAUUAUAGGCGUCGAUAGAGUAAUUUCUAGAUCGAUAUGCAUUUUAAAUGCAUUAUUCAUACAUAAACUAUGAAUUAACCAUAUUAAUAACAUAAAAAAACAUGCACUUAUAGAUAACAAAAUUAAAGGCUGUGUGCAUCAAAGGCGGAUCUACAUUCACAUUAGUGAGUUCAUGUUGCUUAAUAAUAACUUUUGCUCAACGUCUGUAUAUGAAUUUGCUGUUGCAAGUACCUUUAGUCAUAUUUUCCAGAGAUUUUAAUGUGGUAACCAUUUGGAAAUUGUAAACCUGGAGUUCGUACUAUAUCUCCUCCUUGAUUAUCUCCCACCUAAUGAUAAUGAAGAUUUUUAAAUUAAAGAUGUGUAUAUAAUGACCGUAUCACGCCUCUCCAUAUCGGGCAUAUUUUUAUAUAAAUUCUUUUCAAAUUCCUUUAAUCAAUGUAUAUAUUUGUAUCACUUACUUGUACUUGGUCACAAAGCAAUGGAGAAAGACAGCCAUUUGCACCUUAGCAAAGUCUGCUCCAAUACAAAAUCUCAUGCCACCUCCAAAUGCCAUAAAAUUCCUAGAUGCUCCAUUUAGAUCUAUUCCCUGAUAGCAAUUUCAACAUUUCAUUAUAAUUUCUAUGAAAAAACACUAAGAAGAUUUAUGACAAUUUCUUUUGUUAUAGCAUCGCGAGAUAGAGCGAAGAGUUCACAAGGAGAAGAGGUCGAGGUUUGUUGAUAAGUGGAAGUGUAGUGAAACUGUGAAAGUCGAUCCUCGACAAAAUCCAAAGAUGUUCAAAUUUAGUUCCAAUCUGGAUAUAAAAGUCAAGUUCAAUCAUUGAUAACUUUGUUUUUUGGUUGGAAAGUGCCUAGUAUAAUGUCUCAUUUCUUGUGAAUUUGUUUUUAAUUGUGAAAUGACCAUUUUACCCUUCCUCUUAGAUUUUCAUGCUUAGUUUGGGUUGAGGAAAUGGUUGGUGUGGUCCCAAAUGUGAUGGGUGUGUUUUUGGUGUUUUCGCCCCUUUUGAGUUGAGAUUUUUGAUAUGGUUGACUUUGGUCAACAUUAUGAGUUUCGAGCAUCGUAUGGGGAUUCCGUCAAUUUUAUUGAGUCCGAAACGUCGAUUUUUGUUUAUUAAAGUGAUCGGUUAGAGUCCCGAGACCUUAGGUUGUGAUUUGGAUAUUUAGGUAAAAAGUUGAAUUUUUGGCUUAAAUGAGUUUUGAGGGGUAUUUCAGUCAUAUCUAUCUUUGUUUUUUGCAAUCCAACAAUUCUGUUGGUUCCAAAACAUGUUUUAUGAUGAAUUUACACUUUUAGUUUGUGUUUAUAGGAUUCCGAAUGAGUUUCGAGGGUCAAAAAGAUGUUUUCAAGGUUGCUAGUGCACACGUUUCGUGGCAAACAAAUAGACUUUUAGCGACAAAAAAUGGGUUUUAGUGACGAGACAGCUGAGUUAAAUAUCUAUUCGAAUUGUUGCUAGUGCACACUUUAAGUGGCGAAAAAAUAGACUUGUAGCGAUGUAAAUGGGUUUUAGUGACGAAAUCACUGAGUUAAAUAUCUAUUCAAACCUAUUUAGUAUAUUUGACAUUUUGGGAGCUAGAAAAGUCGGUUUGAGGUUAUUUUUGAUGCGUUUUUAUUUCAUAAUCAUUGGGUAUGUAUUUCUAACCUUAUUUUACUAUUUUCUCAAGUCUUUCAUAUUUCAUGAUUUAUGUCCAUUAAGUUGAGAUUUUAAACCCUAAAGUAGAGAAAUCGAAAAUUGUUGAUUUGAAGGUCGAUUUGGAAUGAGUUUUCAUUGAUUUUCGGGAUUUAAGGUCCUUGUAUUGUGGGCAAACUGAUUUUGACAAAGUUUUUUUUUGAAAUUUCUCAUUUUUGACCGCAUUCCAAAUGUGGGUUUUGGGUUUUUUCUCCCAAAGUUUGAAAAGUAGUAAAUUCUUGAUUUAAAGCUCGAUUCUUACUUGUUUUUGAUGGAUUUUUCAACCAUGAACUCCUCUUGGCUGGCAGAACUUGAUUUUCAACUAAAAAACUGAUGUUACCCUUUUGAUUUUCGAAGUGAUUUUAAAACUAUUUUACCCGAUUUCAAAUCAUAUCAAUAUGGGUAUCAUUGAAGUACUCAUUUUGAUGAACUUUUUUAAUUUUUGAUGGGUUAGGAUCGUUUCGAUUAGCUUGUUGUUGUGGAUUUGCUCCGAUAGUGUUGUUCGGAUAAAGUUUUGGCCUUGAGAUAGGUUUGGCUAUCCUUCUCCUAGGCUGGGAUUGGGUAAUUGAUCUUUCUUAUGUCUUAUGCUAUGGGAUGGGAUAGUAGCAUGAUUUUGGGCUGUGAAUUGUAUUGUGCUGCUGUGCGGGGGCUUGAUUGUAUUGUGUUACCCGUGUGAGGGCUUAUAUGUGUUGUUUAGCCUAUGUUGAGGCCUUAAUUGUUGUUUUAUUUCCUUUGAGAGUAUAUGAUUCAUAAGUUGCCUUUAAGAUAGGCUUGUAAUGUUAUUUGACUUGUAAUCCCCAAGUGAGAGGCUGAGUUGGAAAUUUUAUUGUAAUGACCUGUUUCUGUCGUUAUAGAAAAGCCAAUGGGGAAAGAAUUGGGGCAGAAAACUUUUAAGUAGUGACUUGAAAAUUUCUAGCCUAGUCCAGAUUUGGACGAAAUCUGAGUCAGGUGAGGUCUAGGGAAAUAUGGUAAUGAAUGGGAGAUUUAAUUAUGAAUUAAAUCAUAUGAGUUGAUAGCCAAGACGUUAAGGAGCCCGUACGGAUUUACAGAAUUGAAUUCGGGCGAGUAGAACUCCUGAAACUGAUCUUGGAAUGAAAGGGUAGUUUUUUAACGUCAAGGAUUGAAGGUGUGUUGCAAAGUGGGAGCUUAGAACUCAAAUUCUGAGCUUUUGUCUUUGUACAAGCAGCCGGGGCGGGAUUAAUCCCGCCAAGGCGGGGCCGCUGUGGCAGGACAAUCAAGACUUAAAUCGGGAAAAAACCCUAAAAACGUUAUUUUCUGCAAAACUUCUUCCUUGAGAGCUAGGAGACGACCCAUGAACAGUUCUUGACAGUUUUCCACGUUUUCUAGCGCUAAAGAUAAGAUUAUUACUCCCCUAAUCCGUAAUUUGAUUCGUAGACCUUAGAAUCUUGGGUAAUUAUCAUUGGGGGAGGGUUUUGGCUUGAAGUUAAUGGUGGGAAAGCCCUAAUUGAACAAUAGGAUCUUGGGUUUGGCCAUGGAUUAUAGUUUUGUUAUUAUCCAGGUAAAUUAGGCCUUGUUUAUUGAUCCUUGCGUUAAAUUACUUAUUUUCGACCAAGAACAAGCGGAAAGAAUCCGAAAAGGGAAGGUUCAAGCGUCUUAAGAGGAUUCAAGCUUGGUUUCGAGGCAGGUGAUGGUUUGAUUUCCUGUUUGUGUGAUAUAUACCGGUUAAUUGCUUCAUUGUAUGCAUGCAUGUGUGCGAAUAAGGAAUGUAAACCGAAUCUAAUGCAAAUAAGUAUAUGUAUAUGCACAAUUACAUGCCAUGAACCUAUUACUUGAUUGUAUGACUGUGAGCAUUGUUCAUUAUGAAUGUGAUUGCAAUUGUAGUUGUGUUGACUGGAUCGGGUGUCAUGUUUCGACACAUAUAUUGGAUCAUGUUUCACGUUCUGACACGUAUAUCGGAUUAGGUGUCACGUUCCGACACUUAUAUUGGAUCGGGUGUCACAUUUUGAUACAUGUAAAUUGGAUCGGGUGUCACGUUCCGACACAUGUAAAUUGGAUCGGGUGUCGCAUUCCGACACACUAACAGUUUGGGUGUGGGUUCAAUGAGAGAACCAUUGUUGAUUAUUAUGUUUAUGUCCACCUGUCAUUAAUAUUGGGAAACUAUAUGUUGCUCUGAAAUGUUAAUUGAACUAUGUAUUCUGUAUAUGUGUGUUUACUGUGUUGUAAUUGUCUGCUUGUAUUUCGCUUACUGGAGUAGCCGUGUGAUCCUACCAGUACACUAUGGUUGUGUAUUGAUACUAUACUUUCUCAUUCUUUGUUGAGUACAGGGUAUCUUCAAGAGGCUACUGAUUGACCUCAGCUAGGAGAUCACUGAUCGAGAUCGAAUUCAAGGGUGAACCAGUUCUUCCAGGCUGCCAUGUAUCCUUCCUUGUUUAGUCCACUCUUUUCGGACUCAAAUUAUUUAGUUAGACUUUGCUUAUGUUAGUUUAGGGAUUGCAACCCUUUUUCUUAGACUUGUUGGUUUUCAGAGUUUUGGUACAAUGAGUUUCAAUUUUUAGGUGUAGAACUUCCGCAAUAGUUAUGUUUAGUUGUUUUAUUAAACCUUUGGAGUUUAUGGGAACUCCGUUUUAUCCAUCAUUUAAACCUGCUUUCGUAUCUUUAAAUGUUCUAGUUUUCGUUAAUUUGAUUAGUUGAGUUGUAGUAAUAGUUCUCCCACCGGAGGGUUAGUGUGGGUGCCAAUCACGACGGUCUGGGUCGUGACAUUUAUAAUGCUUUGAUUAAACGAAAUGUUUUUUAAAUGGAAUUCACUUAUUUCUAAUGAACUUUUUCCCACUAUUUUUCAUCUGAGGGUGUAUAUCAUGAUCAACUGAGUUUUGAGAAAUUUAGACUGUUGAUACAUGUUGAGUUUGAUUAUUGAUUCCAUGUUAUAUAUGUGUUGUGAUUCAUCCAUCCUUAUUCAUCAUAUCAUGUUCUUUGGAAAUUGGGAAAAAUAUGGAGAUUCCUUUUUUGAAAGAAAAUGAGACAUUUUAUAUAUCAUUGACCACAUUGAGGUGACAAGUUGAUGAAAUAUUGAGAUUGUAAUUUGGUAUAUGGAUUACGAGUCCCCCAUGUGUCCUUGUAUUGGAGCCUUAGCUCGACAGGGUGUGCGACAGCCUUGAUUCCACCGUACCACCACAUUAUUGCAUCAUCUCACUACAUUGCAUUAAUCAUUUGAAUUGCUUGAUUUGUCUGUGACAUGAGAACUGUUGUGACCUUAUGUUUUACUUUACUCGUGCAGUUCAUGAUAAAUUUGUGGCACAUAUCCCUAAAUGAGACUUUUCUGUAUGCAGGUGGAAGCAUUCCUAAGUAUAUUUCAUAAGUUGAUUAAGUCCUUUUACUCAGUCGGUCGAGUCUACUGAGUACUUGUGGAUUGUACUCACCCCUACUUCUGUAUCAUUUUGAUGUAGAUUCUAGUCAGGAUACUACCCGCGGUGGCUGAUCGUGGCUAGCCUUGGGGAUCUUUUCAGAGUGGUGGUGAGAUCCUAUUCCCGGAACACCAUUAGUUUUAUCCUUUAUUUUCAGUCUUUGUUUCUUUUCGAAUACUUGUGAUGUGUUUCAUACUCUAAAGUUGUAUUAGAUGUUCUUUAUACUUAUGUUACCAGGUUUUGGGAUAUUCUUUGUUGUUCUUUGCUAUCAUUUGUGUCCCGACUUUCCUUCGGGAGUCUCGUGUGUGUGUUAUUUUCAACUUACACACUAGUUUGGAGUUUUCGAGGUGUGUGUCAUCUUGACCUCGGCUUUUGGGUCAUGACACCUAGGUCCUUUCCACUUUUUUUAGUCUCUUCAAUCACUUUUUUAACUUUUCUAGUAUCAAUUAAUUCAUUCGAGAAUAUGAGUUGUACUGAGUAAAUUUGAGUCUUAUAUCUUAUUCCUGAAAAGUUUUUCUCUUCGGUCUUGUCUACUAUCUAAGUGGUUUCUCUCUUUACAGCAUGUUGGUGUCAGGGAAGGUUUAGCACCUCUUUACUAGUUAGCAAAAAAAAAAUCUAGAAAUUUUAUGUGUCUUCUUGAGUGAAUGAAAUGUGAAGCACGAACGCGGUUAGUUAGUGAACCAUAACGGAGCUAAGAAUGCAACAUUCAGAAUUCAACAAGUUAUAUAUACAUCUGAGUUGUGAAAACAACCUCUUGCAGACAUGUAGGGUAACAUUGCGUAUAAUUAAUUUUGGUGGACCAACUCUUUCCUAAAUUUCGCACAUUUCAGUUGAAAAAAAUAUUAAAAAUUUUAAAGUUUUUCUUCAACUUGAAAAUAUUUUUUUUAAAAUUUAGAGUGAGAAGUCAAAAUAAUAUAUAACCAAAUAGAUGUUUAAUUUUUUAAUUUUUUUUAUAUCAAAUCAUUAUAUAAUUUUCCGAUAAAGUACUCACCUCCCAUCUCCAUGGAUUGAAUUGAAGUGGAUCCUCAUAUUUGGCAGGAUUUAAGUGGACAGCUGGAGGACACACCAUUACUGCCCAACCAGCUGGAAUGGUAUAUCCUGCAUCUCACAAAAAGUUUAUUUUAGAAAUUAAUCUUAUUCCAAUGAUACAGUAAUGAAUUUUUGCACAAUCAGUAAUGUUCUCUUAAUUUCAGUAAAUAUACACAAUUUAUAGAAGGAUAUGUAUGCACCAUUUGUUGGGAAAAAACAGUUAUAUAUGCUCCCUUGAGUAAUCAAGGGAUACCUCGCACCUUCCCUCAGUUAAAUUCUUGGGAAAAGAAUCUGGAAAAUACUUUAACUUUGGUCGAAAUUGUUGUUGCGAUAUCAAACAUUGGAAAGGAAGUUUUACCCCCUGUACUAAUUAAUAGUAUAUUUUAAAGGUAUAAAUAUGUCUACAUGGACAUCCAAAUCUUGAUUACAUACCUUUGAAGUUGACGUCUUGAAGUGCUUUUCUGAAAAUCAAAGGCGCAAUAUUUGCCAAUCUGACUGUUUCAUUGAUAAACUACAUUUUUUCAAUGAAAUUAAUUAAUUUAUGAUUAUAUAUUUAGACUUGGAAGGGACAAUAUUAUAAUUUAGAUUAAAUACCUGAAAUGUGAACUUCAUUGAUUUAUACUCUUUCCAUGUAAGUCCAUAAGAUGCAUUUCCCCUUCUUCUAAUUAUUGCCUCAUGUUCCUCCUGAAAAACAUUUGAGGAGUGUUUGAUUGUUGUUUAGAGAAAUUAUUGUAACACUUAUUAUAAAAAGUUCAAAUUCUGAAUCCGACUUUGUCAAGUAAGUGCAUAUGUUGUUCAAUUGAUGAAGAAGAUUAUGGUUUCACUUACUGUUAAUUCUUUCAAAGCCUUUGGAUCUUCAUGAAGAAAUUUAAUAGCCAAAGUUAUAGCCAAAGAGGUUGUCUCAAAGCUAGCAAAGAGCAACGCAAACAUCAAAUCCAAAGCUAUUGCCUCAGUGAGAAUUGUGUCUUUACUUUGAAGUUCUUCUAAUACAUAAUCAAAGAAGUCACUUUGUUCUUUUCUUGGUUGUGAUUUCCUUUCCUCUAGCAUUCUCUUGAGCAUCUUCAUUAUCUUCUUUCUUCCCU